RNAcentral lists this ribosomal RNA (468 nucleotides) under uncultured bacterium. RNAcentral describes it as "partial 16S ribosomal RNA". It matches the Rfam family "Bacterial small subunit ribosomal RNA", at positions 28 to 507 of the family's 1533-position model. The record is from RNAcentral.
GACGAACGCUGGCGGCGUGCUUAACACAUGCAAGUCGAACGGAGCGGCCCUGCUGUUGUGGGGUGCUCGAGUGGCCAACGGGUGAGUAACCCGUGAGUAACCUGCCCUUGACUUUGGGAUAACUUCAGGAAACUGGGGCUAAUACCGGAUAGGAGCUCCUCCUGCAUGGUGGGGGUGGGAAAGUUUCGGCGGUUGGGGAUGGACGCGCGGCUUAUCAGCGUGUUGGUGGGGUAGUGGCUUACCAAGGCUUUGACGGGUAGCCGGGCUGAGAGGGUGACCGGGGCCAGUGGGGCUGAGAUACGGCCCAGACGCCUACGGGCGGCAGCAGUGGUGACUAGUGCACAAAGGGCGGAAGCCUGAUGCAGCAACUCCGGGUGCGGGAAGACGGCCUUCGGGUUGUAAGGCGCGUUCGCCUGUGACGAAGCGUGAGUGAGGGUAAGGGGUAAAGAAGUACCGGCGAACUACGUG